This 282-nucleotide long non-coding RNA is filed under the name Cricetulus griseus (Chinese hamster). RNAcentral describes it as "lncRNA (ENSCGRG00000025070.1)". Lineage: Eukaryota; Metazoa; Chordata; Mammalia; Rodentia; Cricetidae. The record is from RNAcentral.
CACUGUGUAUUGUACUGAAUAUUUGCUUUAUUUUCUUUGGAAUCUGUGCAGGGUACACUAGAUAGACAAUUGCUAUCCAAAAUAAGCAAGUCUUUGGAGUGGGGAGUCUUCCAAGAUACCUUACCCCAUCGCCGUUGUCUGUGAUUUGAACUCCACCAUAUCUCCUCUGUCCUUUUUGCUGUGUUUUCGGAGAUUUAUUAUCCUGACCACUUUGGAUGAAGUUGAUUUGAAUUUGGUGGUUAAUGUGGAAACACAGACAACUUGGUAAAUGCUUGUCAUGAU